CUGCGAGUGAAGCGGCAAAAGCUCAAAUUUGAAAUCUGACUGUCCUUAGCCGGGCUAUCCGAGUUGUAAUUUGGAGGAGCAUCUUCGGAGGCGGCAGCCGUCCCAAGUUCCGUGGAACCGGACGUCACAGAGGGUGAGAAUCCCGUGUCUGGGCGGCGUUGCUCGUCUUCGUGCGAAGUGCUUCCGACGAGUCGAGUUGUUUGGGAAUGCAGCUCAAAAUGGGUGGUAAAUUUCAUCUAAAGCUAAAUAUUGGCGAGAGACCGAUAGCGCACAAGUAGAGUGAUCGAAAGAUGAAAAGCACUUUGAAAAGAGAGUUAAAAAGUACGUGAAAUUGUUGAAAGGGAAGCGCUUGAGAUCAAACUCAGCCUUGUGGUGAAGCUGUGAGUUCGCUCGGAGCCGCUCGCCUUUGGCUGGGCCAGCAUCGGUUUUGACGGCGGGAGAAACGGCUUGGGAAUGUGGCUUUUCUUCGGGAGAGUGUUAUAGCCCGAUGCCAAAAUACUGCCAGUCGAGACCGAGGAACCCCCCCGCGCCCUUCUUUUUUGUUGGGGCUAGGAUGCUGGCGUAAUGGUCUUAAGCGACCCG
RNAcentral lists this ribosomal RNA (582 nucleotides) under Octospora erzbergeri. RNAcentral describes it as "partial large subunit ribosomal RNA". It matches the Rfam family "Eukaryotic large subunit ribosomal RNA", at positions 87 to 651 of the family's 3401-position model. The record is from RNAcentral. Lineage: Eukaryota; Fungi; Ascomycota; Pezizomycetes; Pezizales; Pyronemataceae.